GUUUGAGCUCAUCCUCCUACAUGAACCGGAUGCGUGCCUGUUCUGCCAGCAGCUUCUCUGGAAACGGGGACGGAUGUCUCAGACACAGAGCAGCUGCUGCUCUCAGCCCCGAGGAGAAGAGGGAAAUUGCGUUAAAGCAUCUGUACCAGGAAAUGUGCAGAUCUAACACGUACAAUCCUAAGGAUUUUGAGAAAUGCGCCCAUGUAAUCCACACACCAUCAAGAUAGACAGCGCUCCCUCUCUCUAAAAAGUCCCCUGUGCCUUGCAGGCCAGUCCUCACACACAGAGGCAAUCGCUGCCUGAGUUUUAGCGCCAGUGAGGAGUUUUGCCUGACCUCGAGCAUCCUGUGAAUGGCUAUGCCUGACUUCUUUCACUCAGCGCAACAUGUGUGAACCUUACCCAUGUU
Molecule: long non-coding RNA, 406 nt
Organism: Herpailurus yagouaroundi (jaguarundi)
Lineage: Eukaryota; Metazoa; Chordata; Mammalia; Carnivora; Felidae
Exons: 2
Source: RefSeq, a predicted model, not a curated record